Molecule: ribosomal RNA, 497 nt
Filed under: uncultured bacterium
Lineage: Bacteria
Description: partial 16S ribosomal RNA
Rfam family: Bacterial small subunit ribosomal RNA
Source: RNAcentral
GAUGAACGCUGGCGGCGUGCCUAAUACAUGCAAGUCGAGCGAACGGACGCGAAGCUUGUUUCUCUGAUGUUAGCGGCGCACGUGUGAGUCACACGUGGAUAACCUCCCUAUCAUACUGGUAUCACUUCGGGAAACCGGCGCUUAUCCCGGAUAAUCUUUUGAACCGCAUGGUUCAAAAGUGAAAGACGGUGUUGCUGUCACUUAUAGCUGCAUCCCGGCUGCUUUAGCUGGUUGGUAAGGUAACGGCUUACCAAGGCAAGGAUGCGUAGCCGACCGGACAGGGUGAUCGGCCACACUGGAACUGAGACACGGUCCAGACUCCUACGGGAGGCAGCAGUAGGGAAUCUUCCGCAAUGGGCGAAAGCCUGACGGAGCAACGCCGCGUGAGUGAUGAAGGUCUUCGGAUCGUAAAACUCUGUUAUGGGGGAAGAACAUAUGUGUAAGUAACUGUGCACAUCUUGACGGUACCUAAUCAGAAAGCCACGGCUAACUACGUG